CUUUACGUUAAGAACUGACUGAUUUACAGCGUUCGCCACAAUAACAUCUGCUAACCAUGUGUCUUUAUAUACGGUAUGUUAUACCAUAUAUGGCAUCUUGCCUAUGCCGCUCGGUCAUUACUCAUCCAUAUAUUUAUAUGUAUAUAUUCUAUUCCAUCCCUUUACUUGAUUUGUGUGUAUUAGGUAGUUGUUCUGGAACGGUUGUUGUUGAAUUGCUAGAUUACUUGUUAGAUAUUACUACAAUGUGUCCUAAAAUGGUUACAAAUACAAGACUGUGUGUGUGUGUGUGUGUGACAAGAACAUUUGAUUUGAUUUGUUUUGAUACGCUGCAGUAUGGUAUGUUACCACCAGGUGGCUUACAAAAAUACCCCCUUCUUAGGACCCUGACAGUUUUGUGUGAUUUUCAAACCAGGCAUAUUAGCAUGCUAUUUGCAGGCUAUUCCAAUGGUUUCCCUAGUUGAGACCAUGGUUUUGGACCUAACUUGGUCAAAGGUCCUAAUAUGGAAGGUGUUUAUAUAAGUUGAGGUCCUAAUACGAUCUCAAAAACGAGAACACACACACACACACACACACACACACACACACACACACACACACACACACACACACACACACAGCAUAUUCCCACCCCUCCACCUCUUCACUUUAAAACCAUUUAGUAAGUCAGAGGUCUCUGGUCUAUUGAUGGGAAUCAGUGUCUUCCGGGUUGCGUCCCAAAUGACACCAUGUUCCCUAGGUACAGGAGUGCACUUCAUUUGACCAGGGCUCAUUGUCAUUUGGGAAAUGCCCCUGGUGUGAGUGGAAUUGACUGUUUCCUGUUAUACUGGGAUUCGUCGUCACACAGUGAUGAUGCAAUUACACUGGAACUAGUGAUUGACCAACGGGUGUAGUUAUUUUCCAUCAGGCUUGUGUUCACUAUUCAGCCACUUAAGAUAACGUUGUUACCUCAUCUGCCUCACACCUUCCUCACUCCUCCCUUCUGUGUGUGCUCUCGUUCUCGCUCUCUUUCCUACCUGGUUCACUUUCUCACGGUCUCUCGAGGGAGUAGCAGCUCUGAUCUUUAGCUCCACAGUACCUCGUCUCCUCCAGGACUCCAAAAAGACAGUAUGGAGAAGAGCCAGUAUGGACCCCCGCAGGACGUGUCUGCUCCCCCCUACCCCGGCCUCCCAGCGGGCUACCAGGGAAGUGGCGGGGGAACAGCCUACCCCCCUCAGCCUGGCUUCCAGGGAGGUCCCCAACCCGGCAUGUACCCACCACCUCCCCAACCCGGCACGGGCAUGGCACAACCUACAAACGCCCCCAGCG
Salvelinus namaycush (lake trout) is the source of this 1305-nucleotide long non-coding RNA. RefSeq lists it as uncharacterized. The record is from RefSeq and is a predicted model, not a curated record. The transcript is spliced from 3 exons. NCBI's taxonomy places the organism in Eukaryota, Metazoa, Chordata, Actinopteri, Salmoniformes, Salmonidae.